AUUAGCAUUCGUACGUGACCUGCGGAAGGAUCAUUA
This 36-nucleotide ribosomal RNA is filed under the name Macowanites sp. RNAcentral's name for it is "partial 18S ribosomal RNA". Lineage: Eukaryota; Fungi; Basidiomycota; Agaricomycetes; Russulales; Russulaceae. The record is from RNAcentral.